Molecule: ribosomal RNA, 454 nt
Filed under: uncultured Porphyromonadaceae bacterium
Lineage: Bacteria; Pseudomonadati; Bacteroidota; Bacteroidia; Bacteroidales; Porphyromonadaceae
Description: partial 16S ribosomal RNA
Rfam family: Bacterial small subunit ribosomal RNA
Source: RNAcentral
ACGGAAGGCAGCAGUGAGGAAUAUUGGUCAAUGGUCGGAAGACUGAACCAGCCAAGUCGCGUGCAGGAAGACGGUCCUAUGGAUUGUAAACUGCUUUUGUACGGGAAUAAAGUUCGGGACGUGUCCCGUUUGGAAUGUACCGUAAGAAUAAGGGUCGGCUAACUCCGUGCCAGCAGCCGCGGUCAUACGGAGGACCCGAGCGUUAUCCGGAUUUAUUGGGUUUAAAGGGUGCGCAGGCGGAGGAUUAAGUCAGCGGUGAAAUUCUGAUGCUCAACAUGAGAACUGCCAUGGAUACUGGUCACCUUGAGAGAUGGCGAGGAUGGCGGAAUGUGAUGUGUAGCGGUGAAAUGCUUAGAUAUGUCACAGAACACCGAUUGCGAAGGCAGCUGUCCAGAGAUCUUCUGACGCUCAGGCACGAAAGCAUGGGUAGCAAACAGGAUUAGAUACCCUGGUA